GCCAGGCUGGUCUUGAACUCCUGAUCUCAUGACCCCUGACCUCAUGAUCUGCCUGCCUCAGCCUCCCAAAGUGCUGAGAUUACAGGCAUGAGCCACCACACCUGGCUGCCAUUUCUUUUUUAAAAUGAAUAAUGGGAUUUCUUGUAAGGAGUGGCCUAUCAUGGGUGAAAAGAUGCUUGUAUACCCCAUUUCAGGUUAUACUGCAGUGUUUGUUUUGUUUUGUUUUGUUUGAGACAGAGUUUUGCUCUUGUUGCCCAGACUGGAGUGCAAUGGUGCGAUCUCAGCUCACUGCAAUCUCUGCCUCCCAGGUUCAAGUGAUUCUCCUGUCUCAGCCUCCCGAGUAGCUGAGAUGACAGGCAUGCACCACCAUGCCUGGCUAAUUUUUUGUAUUUUUAGUAGAGAUGGGGUUUCUCCAUGUUGAUCAGGCUGGUCUCGAACUCCUGACCUCAGGUGAUCCCCCCGCCUCGGCCUUCCAAGGUGCUGGGAUUACAGGCGUGAGCCAUUGCACCCAGCUCAUACUGCACUAUUAUGUGAGCAGUACUAUUCUUCUUGGAAGCCAUUUGCUGUCUAUAAGUCAGAAAGUUUUACUUCCUAAGAAACUUCAUGAAAUCUAUAAGCAGCUUCUUUGAAGAUGGCCUUUUGUAAUCUGCAUAUGACCCCCGAUUCUGAAACUGACUAGGACUGAUUGCAGCAUCAGGAAGGAGGAAUUUCCUGCCUCUGUGAGGGUUGGGCAAUGCAGAGGUUGGGGCAGGUGCCACCACCCUGGGGCUUAGACUCAGUUAGUUUGCCUGGGACCCAGCUCUGUGAGCUUAACCAAUAUCUCAGAGUAAAGGCUAUUAAAUAGGACAAUCUGAUCUGGUCUGAACUAAUUUUGGCCUGGUACAAUGGCUCACGCCUGUAAUCCCAGCACUUUGGGAGGUCAAGGUCAGAGGAUUGCUUAAGCCCAGGAGUUUGAGACCAGCCUGGGCAACGUGGCAAAACCUCAUCUCUACUAAAAAUAAAAAAUUAGCGGGAUGUGGUGGCACACACCUAUAGUCCCAGCUACUCAGGAGGCUAAGGUAGGAGGAUCACGUCAGCCCGGGAGGUUGAGGCUACAGUGAACCAAGACGGUGCCACUGCACCCCAGCCUGGGAGACAGAGGAAGACCCUGUCUCAAACAAACAAACAACACAAGAAAAUCCCAUUAUAUUUGGAGUUGGCUGUGUUUCCCUCAGUAGGCAGGUUCAUUAUUGAGAGUUGGAGGUUUACCAUCUAGCUAACAUUUGUGGAUGGUUAGACUGCUUUUCCCUGCCAGUCUCUUGGAAGCAGUCAAGGCAACCAGGCCUUUAGUGGAAAAAGGAGAAGAGACAGGAAUACCAGAGGCAGUCCCUUAACCUUGGAUUUCUCAGCCUCCAUAACUGGAAGAAAUACAUUCAUUUUAUUUAUAAAUUACCUGGUUUCAGGUAUUCUGAUAUAAGUAACAGAAAAUGAACCAAUAUAGUACCUAUGGUCCAAGAUCUUUAAAGAGAGCUCCUAGGUCCAAUAUCUGGAAGAAAUGUUACAACUAAACAACAAAAAGAUUAAAAUAUGGGUAAAGGACUUAGACAUUUCUCUAAAGAUAUACAAAUAGUCAACAAGCACAUGAAAAGAUAUUUAGCAUCCUUACUUAUUAGGGAAAUGCAAAUCAAGACCACAGUGAGGUACCACAUCAUACCUACAAGGAUAACUAUAAUUUUUUUUUUGAGAUGGAGUCUCACUCUGUCACCUAGGCUUGAGUGCAGUGGCGUGAUCUCAGCUCACUUUAAAAAGAAGGAAAUUUUGGCACAUGGAUGAACCUUGAAAACAUUAUAAGACUCCUUCAGGGUGAGCAAAGGCCUGGAAACCUGUAUGCAGUUAAAGAAAAGGAAAGAAAGAGAUAAUCAGUGCAUGCAGUUGUCAGCUGGCUGGGACCUGAGGAGAGUCACUUGUGGAGGCAACUGGUCUUUAUCCCUAUUGUCCGGUACAAGGCAGGCAUUAAUCCUGUGAUCCUUAUCUGAAGCUCAGGUUUGAUUUUAUUCUUUUCUUAAGGACCUAGUGUUAUCCCCAAGCUUGUAAUAAUAGUUUAAUUGUUACAGCCAAUAUCUCACCUUCAGAAAUAAGAUGCUUAGGAAACCAAGACAAGGAACUGUGUGUUGCAAACAGCAUCACCCUGGAGAAGAGGUGGCAGGAGGUGACCUACAGAAAAUGGAGCAAUAGCCUAGAGCAAGAAACACAGAACAAAAGAGAAAUGAGGGGUUAGGCAACCUCCUGGAGCACCACCGGGACAAGCACAUAUUCAGGGGCCUCCUAACAGACUCGACUUCCAGCAUCCUCAGAUGGGGCUAGACACGUUACAUAGACAUUCAAGAGCAGAGAACUCAGGGACUUCUGAUUUAUAUCAAGAAAUGCAUACACAGCAGACGUGUGCCUGUGGAGUGGAAUUCUGGAAAAGCUCACAGCCCAGAACAUAAUGCAGACUCCCCCAGCCACAGCACCUUCCAAUCCUGAGAAGAGUGCUGAUUCUCCAUCUGAGCACCCAUUCUCCUGCAACAUCAGGGGAGAGGAUUUCACCUAAGGGUCAGACCAGCGUCUCCAAACCCAGCUCCCCACCUUUGCCUGUUGGUGGCACUUGUGGGAGAAGGGGAGAUGAUAUGAAAAGAGCCACAACAGGAGUCACCUGGACAGGGUGGAGCUUGAUGGAAACUGACAUUUGUGCCCAUUGGAGGCAAAUGUAGAAUUUGGUAUCUUCCGUAGCGUCAGGCACAUGAAACUCUCCAGUGCCCAUGACUUUUGACAGUGACUUCAGAGCACAUCUGGGAGACCCAUGUGGCCCAGGCUCCACACAGAGGAUACAGAGGACCAACUGUAUACCACUUCAUGUGAUGUUGGAGUGCUGUUCUGCACGCCUAACUUUAUGGCUUGGUGGAUCAGACAAUGCCCAAUGUAUGAUGGAAAGCUCAGGUUGCAGGGUAGCUAGGUGGCCCAUGCUUGAGCAGUCUCCACUAAGUCCCAGGAGCAAGCCAAAACUGCUUCUGAAAAGGAGAGUAGUUAUCAGCGGAAGAUGGCAUGCUCCACAGUUCUAGGGUCCACACUGAUUUGCCUGUAGAGGCCUGCCAGUGGCUUCAGAUAGUAUCCCUAUCUGCCACUGACACUUCAAGCACCAUUGGAUCUCCUGAAACAUAAAGCCCAAGUGGGAGAGCAGCUUGCACAGCAGCCUGGACCUGUUGCAGAGCCUGCUUUUAUCCUGGGCUUAAAACUAGCAGCUUUUUGGGUCACUUGGCAAAUAGGUCAGAGAGUAACACACUCAAUUGAGGAAUAUGUUGCCUCUAAAAUCCAAAGAGGGCCUAAUGGUGUUAUGCCUCUUUUUUUGGUUGUACAAGGGGCUAGAUGCAACAACUUAUUCUUCACUUUAGAAGGGAUAUCUCGACCACUAGACUCCUAGAAAUUUCGCUGAAGUGAAAGGCCCUUGAAUUUUUAUAGGAUUUAUUUUCCACCCUCUGACAUGCAAAUGUCUUAGUAGUAAGUCUAGAAUAGUUGCUACUUCUUACUGCUUCCAGUCAGCAUUAUGUCAUCAAUGUAAUGGACCAGUGCGAUUGAUAUAGAAGGGAAAGGCAAUUAAGAUCCCUUCAGAUUAAAUUAUGACAUAGGGCUGGAGAGUUGGCAUACACCUGAGGUAGGACAACGAAGGUGUAUUGCGAGCUUGCCACCUGAAACCAAACUGUUUCUGGUGGUCUCUACUAACAGACAUCAGGAAAAAAAGUAUCUGCCAGAUCAGUAAGUGCAUACCAGGUACCAGGGGAUGUAUUAAUUUACUCAAGCUAUGAAACCACAUUUGGAACAGCAGCUGAAAUUGAUGUCCCCACCUGAUUAAGUUUCCAGUAAUUUACUCUCAUUCUCCAAGAUCUAUCUGUUUUCUUCACAGGCUAAAUAGGGGAGUAGAAUGGGAAUGUGAUAAAAAGUACCACCUCUGCAUCCUUCAAGUCCUUGAUGGUGGUACUAAUCUCUGCAAGCUCUACAAGAAUGCAGUAUUGUUUUUGGUUUGCUGUUUUUCUAGAUAGAGGCAGGUAAGUGGCUUCCACUUUAUAGCGUAAUUGCCCUCACUCUUCAGGUCAGGAAACCAGUGUAGGGAUUCUGCUAAUUGUUGAGUAUGUCUAUUCCAAUUAUUCUGCAGCUACAGAGAUAACAAGACGACCCACUGCAAGACAGACCUAAACUAAAACUCCAUUGAUCACCUAACCUCCCUAAGCCCCUACUCUCACUUGUGAACCAGAGUGAUGCAUUAGUUUUCCUGGGGUACCCUGAGUCUGAGUUCAGAACCAAUGUCCAGUAAUUCCCCCAAAGUCUGAUUAUUCCCUUUUCCCCAAUGCACAGUCAACUUGGUAAAGUGCUAUAGGUCCCUUUGGGGAAGGCUGAGAGAAAAAUGAACAGUAUACAAUUUUGGUAAUGCAGUGGGGACACAGCCUCCUCAUUAUUUAAGGAGAUAUGGGUCUGCAAACUGGCCCAAGUCUUGGAAUUGAUUCAGGAGCUGUGACUCCGUUUUUUUGAUUCGAGUUAGACUUUUAUUCACUUGAUUCUUCUUUUUAUACAGAACAGAUAAGAAUUUAGUAGGCUUUCCAUCUCUUUUAUUUCUAUGGAUACUAUGACCAGCUAGCUAAUGCCAUAAGUCUCUGUAAAUCGGACUUUCUAACUACAGUUUUGACUUUACUGUCCAUUACAGUAACCAUGUUCACCUUGUCUUUGGUGAUUAAAUGCUGCCACUUGGCCCCUGCCAUCCUGGGAUCCAGUUACUCUCCUUAUACUUAAGAAUCCCAUUCAGUGGCAGCAGUUCCCACUGUAAUUUCUGACCUAUACAGAAGAGCAACCACAGAGCUCUUUAAAAAUAUUGGAACUCCCUCACAAAUUUAUUUCUCAUAGUCAUAACAGAAAGUGUGUCCUGAGCUAGAUGUGGUAGCUCACACCUAUAAUCCCAGCACCUUGGGUGGCCAAGGUAGGAGAAUCGCUUGAGCUCAGGAGUUUGAAGCCUGCUUGGGCAACGUAGCAAGACCUUGCCUCUAUAAAAAUUUUUAAAAUUAGCCAGGUAUGAUGGUGCAUAUAGUCCCAGCUACUCAGGAGGCUGAGGCAGGAGGGUCUCUUGAGCCCAGGAGUUUGAGGGUACAGUGUGCUAUGGUCACACCACUGCACUCCAGCCUGGGCAAUAGAGUGAGCCCUGACUCUAAAAAAUAAUAAUAAAUAGAAAAAGAAAGCAUGUCCUCUUGUUAAAGAUUUUUCAAUGACACUUGUUCAAGGAUGGUAAGGCUGACUUUUUCAAGAUCAUCAGAAUAGAUACAGGGACCAAUGCAAUAGCAUUUUACAGCGAGGGAGAGAGAUUGGGCUCAACUCUGAAUACAGUUUGGGUAAGUGGGAAUUUAUUGCCAAGGAGUAGGGUGGGGGUCAGUGGAUUGAAAAUUACUAAGAGGAAACUUCAAGAGUAAGGAAAGAUUCUGGCUUAACUGACCUAACAGGAUUCUUGCUGAAAACAGGCUGGGGUGUUGAGACACUACCUGGGAGAUGGUGGAGGAUGAAGCCCUGAUCAGAUAUGGAGGAUGAUCAGAUAUUGAGCAUGGAGGUUCUUUUUUUUUUUAUGCUUUAAGUUCUAGGGUACAUGUGCACAACGUGCAGGUUUGUUACAUAUGUAUACAUGUGCCAUGUUGGUGUGCUGCACCCAUCAACUCGUCAUUUACAUUAGGUAUUUCUCCUAAUGCUAUCCUUCCCCCCUCUUCCCAUCCCACAACAGGCCCCAGUGUGUGAUGUUCCCCGCCCUGUGUCCAUGUGUUCUCAUUGUUCAAUUCCCACCUAUGAGUGAGAACAUGCGGUGUUUGGUUUUCUGUCCUUGUGAUAGUUUGCUCAGAAUGAUGGUUUCCAGCUUCAUCCAUGUCCCUACAGAGGACAUGAACUCAUCAUUUUUUUUUUUUUUUUUUUUUGAGACGGAGUCUCGCUCUGUCACCCAGGCUGGAGUGCAGUGGCGCGAUCUCCGCUCACUGCAAGCUCCGCCUCCCGGGUUCACGGCAUUCUCCCGCCUCAGCCUCCCGAGUAGCUGGGACUACAGGCGCCCGCCACCGCUCCCGGCUAAUUUUUUGUAUUUUUAGUAGAGAAGGGGUUUCACCGUGCUAGCCAGGAUGGUCUCGAUCUCCUGACCUCGUGAUCCACCCACCUCGGCCUCCCAAAGUGCUGGGAUUACAGGCGUGAGCCACUGCGCCCGGCCUUGAACUCAUCAUUUUUUAUGGCUGCAUAGUAUUCCAUGGUGUAUAUGUGCCACAUUUUCUUAAUCCAGUCUAUCAUUGAUGGACAUUUGGGUUGGUUCCAAGUCUUUGCUAUUGUGAAUAGUGCUGCAAUAAACGUACAUGUACAUUUGUCUUUAUAGCAGCAUAAUUUAUAAUCCUUUGGGUAUAUACCCAGUAAUGGGAUGGCUGAGUCAAGAUGGUAUUUCUAGUUCUAGAUCCCUGAGGAAUUGCCACACUGUUUUCUACAAUGGUUGAACUAGUUUAUAGUCCCACCAACAGUGUAAAAGUGUUCCUGUUUCUCUACAUCCUCUCCAGCACCUGUUGUUUCCUGACUUUUUAAUGAUCAGAUAGCCUCCUAUUUUUUAACUAUGAGUUGGAAUUUGCUGCUUUUGAUAUGAUAAGAAAGUUCAAAGUUUCUCUUCCUUGCUUUGUUGUGUGUUCUAAUUCUUUUCUGCCCAUCCCCCAGUAAAGAAAAGGCUCAGUAUGAUUUCUUGAAUAGAUUGUUUAAGCUAUUUUCAAAACAGGACUUGGUCAGGGGCAGGUAGUCUUAAAUGUUCAGAAGCCACUGGAUGGAAAAUUGUGAGCACAUAAGUGUUUUUCUUGGUCAACCAUGUCAUUUUAUAGCCAAAGUUUGACUUGACAUACUGGAAUUAAUCCACACGACUUUGAAAAGAAUAAACUCUUUAAAAAGAGAGUGAGCGCUCCGAGGGUGUUAUGAGAGUCACUGUCUGAAACCCUAUUGAUCAUAUUGUGGCAGAAGAAAUAGAGUCCUGCCAUGAAUUAUACUUUUCAGGUUAAAAAAAAAAAAAGCAAUUUGUAGGACAGUUUGAAUAAUUUAGUACAAUUGUUAAAAAUACAGACAUGCACAUUCCUGUAUGUGCAUUUUUAAAUGUUCACGAAUGAUAUAAGCCAGAUAUAUUUCUUAGAGGUGCUUGAAAAAAGUUAUUUCUUCUUGGGCUUUAUUAUCUCAAUUUAAAAAAAUUAAGAUGCAUAAUUCUCAUAAGAUAACAGAUUCAGAAGAAUAUAGUUCAAGAAAAAAAAUUAAAGAACUCAUAAAGGAGAAGGAGGAGGAGGAAGAGAGUGUGAAACAGGAGCCUCAGAUAACUUGGUAAAGGCAUGUCUCCCAUUUGGGAACUGAUGUUCCUAAGAUCCGCACUGACGCUGCUCAGCCGGUCCAUCACACAGCAAAGGCGUGAGGAAGGGUCACUGCCCAGCUGGACUCCAGGGUGGUCCACGCAUGACAGUCACACCGAACCUUCAUGAGGAUGUGAACUGUUGGCUCCAAUUUACCAUUCCCAGCAAUUCCACUCAGAUAUUUGUAUACUAAUGUUCACAGCAGCGUGAACUCCACAGCAGGUGGAGUAAUGUUCCAUUGUGUGCAUAUGCCACAUUUUGUUUAUCCAUUCAUCUGUUGAUGCACAUUUCGGUUGUUCCCACCUUUGGGCUAUUAUUAAUAAUGCUGCUGUGAACAUUCCCAAGAGAAAUAGGAAGACGGCUUUGCUAAGAACUAAAAAAGGGAUGGACAACAAGGGCAUAUACCCAGGGGCAGUGUUCUAUCAUGACAGCUUUACUGAGAGCAGAGUAGUUCUGCUCAGAAUCAGAACACUUGUUCCCUAUAGCCCCCCUGAUUGCCCCACAACCACCACCGCAUACUCCCCUUUUCCCAACCAUGGGCAGCAGAUUGAGCUAUUAACAGAAGUGUCCUUUCGCUGGAUUUCUCAACCCUUUCCUCAUCGUCCACAUAGAGAAACAGUAACAGAUUGCUACUCACCCAACACCCAGGUCAAGUCCAAUGCAGGUAGGAAUAACAGCAAAUCCUUCAAUUUCUUGAUUCUGCUCUUAAAAAUCUUAACAGAGGCCGGGCACGGUGGCUCACGCCUGUAAUGCCAGCAUUUUGGGAGGCCGAGGCGGGUGGAUCACCAAGACCAGCCUGGCCAAGAUGGUGAAACCCCGUCUCCACUAAAAAUACAAAAAUUAGCCAGGCGUGGUGGUGGGCACCUGUAAUCCCAGGUACUCGGGAGGCUGAGGCAGAGAAUUGCUUGAACGCGGGAGGCAGAGACUGCAGUGAGCCGAGAUCACACCACUGCACUCCAGCCCAGGUGACAGAGCAAGACUCCAUCUCAAAAAAAAAAAAAAAAGACUUAACAGAGCAUUUCACGGGGAAGGGCCAUGAGGGAACAUCACCUGGGUGAUGGUAACAUUCUGUAUCUUGAUAAGGAUUUGAGUUAUACAAGUAUAUACAUCUGUCAAAAUUCAAAGAAUGUACACUCAAGAUCUGUGCAUUUCAUUAUAUGUAAAUGUUACAUUAAAAUGUUGUAAACAAAUAUUGAACAAAUAUACGCAUGCUAAAGUAUUUAAGAGGAAGUACUGGUGUCUGCAAAACAAAAAUUUUUUUUCCAUUUUCUGUGGUAAAAUAUACAUAAUAUAAAUGUAUUAUUUUAAGUGUACAAUUCAGUGGCAUUAAAUACACUCAGAAAGUUGUGCAAACAUCCCAUUUAUUCAUUUCCACAGAUUUUUUAAUUCUCAUUCCAAACAGAAGCCCUGUACCCAAAGAGCAAUAACUCCGCAUCCUCCAAUCCCCACUCUCUGGUAACCUCUAUUCUACUUUCUGCCUCUAUGAAUUUGCCAAUUCUAGGUACCUCAUAUAAGUGGAAUACAGUAUUUAUCCUUUUGUGUCUGGCUUCUUUCACUUAGCAUAAUAUUUUCAAGGUUCAUUCAUGUUUUACAUGUAUCAGAAUCUUGUUUUUUCAGGUGGAGUAAUGUUCUAUUGUGUGCAUAUGCCACAUUUGGUUUAUCCAUUCAUCAGUUGAUGCACAUUUCGGUUGUUCCCACCUUUGGGCUAUUAUGAAUAAUGUUGCUGUGAACACUGGUAUACAAAUAUCUGAGUGGAAUUGCUGGAUCAUAUGGUAAUUCUGCAUUUAACUUUUUAAGGAACUGCCAAACUGUUUUCCACAGAGCUGUAACAUUUUACAUCCAAACCAGCAAUAGGACCUGGAUAAAAGGUGGCUAAGGCACAGUUAAAUAAAAUACUGUUAGUUACUGCCCAUUUGCAUUGGGUUUCUAGUGGCAAAUAAUCUAGCCGUGUCCUUGACUGGAUCUCCCAAUGAUUCUUUUCAGUCAUUUGAAUGAGUAUGGUGGUGGUGACACUGGCAGGAGGCUGGAGGGUACUUUAAUUAACACGCGAACACACACAAAUCCAUUGCACCCCACUAAGCCGCCCAAACACACAUGAAACACAAAAACUAUCCUUGCUAGGGAAACACAGCCCUGGAACAAACCCCCUGGACCCCUUGUCACCACCAGCCCAUCCUGUAAGAAAAUGAUGGUUGAAGCUGCAGUGACAGAAUUGGAGAGAUGCUCUGUUAGACAAGUCUGUCAGCUGAAAGGGGCAGAAACCAUUGUUGAACUGCUUAUAUGAGAGGAAGACCUGGGUGGCACAGGCCUGGCUGGACGCAGGGCUCACAGAGCGUCAUCAGCACUUCAUCUCUUCCCCUGCGGGACCUGCUGUCCUCUGCGUUGCACACACCCCCCGCCAGGCUCAUCCCUGUAUCCUCCUUGGAGGAAAGUGCCAGGCUGGUGCUACUUGGCCCUGCCUGGGUCACACGCCUGCCUCGGGAUGUGGAGGAUGGUCAGCCCAGCCACAGCACAUGGAUUGCUAUGUGAAGGAUGAUGUUCCACAAGAAAACCAGGACGGCUUCACCAGGGAGGCAAGAGCAGCAGAUGCCCAUGACAGAGGGUGUAUACUCUGAAUAAAAGAAUUUGGAUUUUUAAAAAGAGACAGGAAGAAAAGGACUUCCAAACUCUAGAAAGUUUAAAACUAGUAGAAUGAAACAUAUUGUGUAUAAAUGUAAAGCUCUUUGUUGAGAUUAAAUAUACGUAUCAGUUAAAUUUUAUUUAAACAUAUAUAUACACAUAUACACACACACACAUACAUAUAUAUGACCCAAGUACAGGAUAAAGAUGAAAUUAAUAAGUACUCUUUAAAAAUCUUAGUUUUGGGGCUGGGCGCGGUGGCUCACGCCUCUAAUCCAAGCACUUUGGGAGGCCAAGGCGGGCGGAUCACCUGAGAUCGGUAGUUCGAGACCAGCCUGACCAACGUGGAGAAACCCUGUCUCUACUAAAAAUACAAAGAAUUAGCCGGACGUGGUGGCGCAUGCCUGUAAUCCCAGCUACUCGGGAGGCUGAGGCAGGAGAAUCGCUUGAACCCGGGAGGCGGAGAUCGCAGUGAGCCAAGAUGGUGCCAUGUCACUCCAGCCUAGGCAACAAGAGCAAAACUCCAUCUCAAAAAAAAAAAAAAUUAGUUUUGGGAUACCAGUAAUUUCAGUAUUAUUAACAACCUGACUUGGGCACCCCAAAAGUUUGCAAUAAUGGCAUUAAAUGGCUGGAUAGAGAAAGAGAUGGUGGCGUGAAUGCCUGCUUCCUGGUGUCAUGUCUGGAAUUUCAUGUCCAGUCCUGAAAGCUGCAUUUUAGGAAGGGUGCUACUGAGCGUCCAGAGAAGACAGCAUUUCGCUUGGUGAAGGGAGUGGGCUUAUGAUGCAUGGCAGGAGGAGUAAUGUAGAAAGAAAUAAGCUUUGCGGUGCAUAGUGUAGAGAAAUUCCUGCUUUGCGUCAAACAGACUGACCAGGCAGGCCUCACAGUUUUGCAAAGCCCUGGAAGCACAGGCUUGGCUGCAGAUGUUGGAUGACUUUCCAGACCAGUUUUGGAAAAAGCUCUUGAGGAUCAGAAGCUCCUGGGAUUUCUGUUAUCACCUGAUUUCAUGGAGAGAGACAGUCCAGGGCCGGGAAUUAUGUGGCAUCUAUGUGUUCCCCAGUUGUGGGAUCCAUCUGGCCGAUGGUUAUGGUGGUCAGUGACUUUCAGAGGCCUGGAAUUCAUGACAGAUGCUUUUGCUAAUGUGCUUGGUGCCCCACUGAGGCUGCUGAGCAGUGCUUACCAUGCGCCCGAUGUCUCUUCUGUGUGCCUCUGAGAGCAAAAGUGGCCUCAGAGUCUGAAGGAGGGCAAAGUGGCCACAGCUGCAGACACAAAGUCCAGACUAGCUCUUGACCACAUCCAAGUGCAUCCUGCAUUAAGCUCAGGCACAUCAAACCUGCCCAAUCAAGGUCUGCCAAAGGAAGGAGUCUGCAAAUGACAUUUCUCAUAAUCAAACACACUCUUAAUUUGUUUUUAUAUUAUUCACUCCAUUUUUUGAUUAUUAUAACUUUUAAAAUUAUGUCUAGUAGUUUUAUCAAUUGCUGAGAAGAGUGUUGAAGUCCAACUUACAAUUGUGGAUUUGUUGAUUUCUUCUUUCAGCUUUAUUGGUUUUGGUUUAUGCAUUUUAAGGCUCUGCUCUUGGUGUGUACACAUGUAAAACCAUUUUGUCUUCAUAGUAAAUUAAUUUUUAAAAAUCAUUAUGUAAUGUCCCUCUUUGCUCCAGUAAUUCUUUGCUCUGAGGUCUACUGUAUUAGUAUUAAUAUAGCGACUUCUACUUUUAAGUUAAUAUUUGCAUGGUACAUUUAUUUUAAUGCUUUUCAUUUUCUUUUUUUUUUUCUUUUUUUAUUAUACUGUAAGUUUUAGGGUACAUGUGCACAACAUGCAUGUUAGUUACAUACAUAUACAUGUGCCAUGUUGGUGUGCUGCACCCAGUAACUCGUCAUUUAACAUUAGGUAUAUCUCCAAAUGCUAUCCCUCCCCCCUCCCCCCACCCCACAACAGGCCCUGGUGUGUGAUGUUCCCCUUCCUGUGUCCAUGUGUUCUCAUUGUUCAAUUCCCACCUAUGAGUGAGAACAUGUGGUGUUUGGUUUUUUGUCUUUGCAAUAGUUUGCUGAGAAUGAUGGUUUCCAGCUUCAUCCAUGUCCCUGCAAAGGACAUGAACUCGUCAUAUUUUAUGGCUGCAUAGUAUUCCAUGGUGUAUAUGUGCCACAUUUUCUUAAUCCAGUCUAUCAUUGUUGGACAUUUAGGUUGGUUCCAAGUCUUUGCUAUUGUGAAUAGCGCUGCAAUAAACAUACGUGUGCAAGUGUCUUUAUAGUAGCAUGAUUUAUAAUCCUUUGGGUAUAUACCCAUUAAUGGGAUGGCUGGGUCAAAUGGUGUUUCUAGUUCUAGAUC
RNAcentral lists this long non-coding RNA (12335 nucleotides) under Homo sapiens (human). Its description in RNAcentral is "HSALNT0353932". The record is from RNAcentral. Lineage: Eukaryota; Metazoa; Chordata; Mammalia; Primates; Hominidae.